UGGGGGAUCGUCUAGUGGUAGGACGACGGAUUCUGGUUCCGUUAACCCAGGUUCGAAUCCUGGUCCCCCAG
RNAcentral lists this transfer RNA (71 nucleotides) under Thiohalorhabdus denitrificans. It matches the Rfam family "tRNA". Rfam says of the family: Transfer RNA (tRNA) molecules are approximately 80 nucleotides in length. The record is from Rfam by way of RNAcentral. Lineage: Bacteria; Pseudomonadati; Pseudomonadota; Gammaproteobacteria; Thiohalorhabdales; Thiohalorhabdaceae.